RNAcentral lists this long non-coding RNA (373 nucleotides) under Gallus gallus (chicken). Lineage: Eukaryota; Metazoa; Chordata; Aves; Galliformes; Phasianidae. The record is from RNAcentral.
UCCGCUCCCCGUUCCGACCCCCAGGCUCCCCUUGUCCCCCCUUGGAAUCGUGCCGAGGGAUCUGGAGACGUCCUAGAGAGGUCUGGGGGCAUCCAGGGGGUUCUGGACUCAUGCAGAAGAGUCUGGAGGUGUCCAAGGAGGAUCCAGGGAGUCCCCAGGCCUGCCUGCAGCCGGACCCGGUGACACCGGAGCCCUGUGGCGCUGUCACCAUCCUCUGUCCCGAGGACGGGAGGUGAACUCUGUGCCACCAGCAGAGGGGACCACGGGUGACAUCAGUGUGGAACAGCCGUGACGCGGCGGCGUUGUCAUUGGGUGUCACCGUCACGCAGAGGGGACAAAAGGACCCCCCUGGGGGCAUUGCGUCGAAGUUGGG